Molecule: unclassified non-coding RNA, 18 nt
Filed under: Mus musculus (house mouse)
Lineage: Eukaryota; Metazoa; Chordata; Mammalia; Rodentia; Muridae
Description: oocyte_clustered_small_RNA8359
Source: RNAcentral
GGAAGAGCAGGAACCAGC